Molecule: microRNA precursor, 135 nt
Filed under: Selaginella moellendorffii
Lineage: Eukaryota; Viridiplantae; Streptophyta; Lycopodiopsida; Selaginellales; Selaginellaceae
Source: RNAcentral
CGAGCGAGAGCGAUAUUGGCUCUGCUCAAUCGCAUGACGCUGCUGCAUCGCACGAAAAAUUUGCGAUGGGAAUGGAUCGAUGGAGUCGCAGCAGAGGCAUGAGAUUGAGCCGUGCCAAUAUCACUGGUGUUUUUC